Osmia lignaria (orchard mason bee) is the source of this 719-nucleotide non-coding RNA. Lineage: Eukaryota; Metazoa; Arthropoda; Insecta; Hymenoptera; Megachilidae. The record is from RefSeq and is a predicted model, not a curated record.
GCAACGAGGCAACGUCUGCCUAUUCAAAAGGGUUCGGAACGGUGAUACGAUACGGGCGUUGGAUACAGGUGGAUACUCGGCUUUAGACAUUCGGGAAACAGUUCGCUCGAACAACCAUCUCACAACGUCAAAUAACGCAUAUAGUCAGGAAAGUCACGUAGGACCAAUCAAGCAACAUCCAGUCAGUUAAUAAAAUAAAAUAAACCAAAAUAGAAUCAAAGCAACCAAGGCAGCAGGUAUCUAGCAGAAAGGAAAUAUAAAAGAAAAGAAAAGAAGCAAACAAGGAACAGCACACCGUCAUCAAAAAGCUAUACUAUUAUCGAAGAGAAACGGCUUGAAUAAAUUAAAUUAAAGAAUACCAGAGAAGAAUAUCAAAAUGUCAAAAUGUCCAAGGAAUGUCCAAGGAUAGAGGUGACAAGAAAUAAAAUAAAAUAAAUGAUGAACUUAUCAUGAGUCAAAAUAAAUUAAAUCUUAACAGUUACCUUGAUUCAAUUAAUUCAGAAUGAAUGAACAAUGACAGCAUGAAAUGAACGACUGAACAAUGAAAUCAAUUAAAGAUAUUAAAGAAGAAUGAAGUAAAAAAUAAUAAUAAGCAUAAAGUAUAAAGUGAAGGCCGUAACCAACCUAAUGUAGAUAAUGUAAUGUAAUGCACUGUAAUAUAAGUAAUGCAAUAUACUGUAAAACAGAAUGUAAUAAUAAACUGAAUACAAAAUACAAAA